GGUUGAUUAUAUGUAAAAAGCAAAUUUCGGAUGACAUUGGUGGAGAGUGCUUAUCUCUAAGACACAUCUACUCAUUCUUUGAAUGGAAAUCACAUCCAUGUUCUAGAAAGUCUAUUUUUACUUCAAAAAGGGGCGAGGGUUGUUCAGUGCUUUGACAUGUGUGCAACUAUUCAAGCACAAUGGUUAGAUGAUAUCCCCAUUCAUUUUAGAUUAUUACAUUGUGGUGUUCGGCUUCUUCAGUCAAGCAGCAAUCAUGCAGCAUGCCUUACUGUAGUUUUUUAUCACUGCACAUGUUGUUGGACAAAUUUAUGGACUGGAGGAUUAUAGAGGACUAACAAGUGCUACUGGGAGAUUCUCGAGCACCAUUGAACUAAGAGAUUCCAAAUAGUUCUUUGGAGUCUAUUGUUGAUGUUGGCGGGGAUAAUCUAGCAGAGAUUUGUCAGAUUUUUUGUGCAACAUGGGGGCUACAUGAGGCAGCAACGAUCCCAUUCUUCUCGCAUGCCACUUUACACAAGCUAAGGAUAGCUUCUGGUCUCACUCAUGGUUGUGGCAGGGAAAAGCCGAGUCAGUAGGGUUUGUCAUGUAGCUGGAGUUAUCUCAGACCACAUAUUAGAUGCAGUGAUGACGUUAAUGGAGGAUGUUUACAUUUACCGUGCAAGCAAGAUGACUUAUAUUAUGCCUUAGGACAAUAAGUAUUGUUUUCACUCUAAUGAAAUACUUGGUAAAAAGU
This is a long non-coding RNA of Zea mays, 730 nucleotides long. RefSeq lists it as uncharacterized. The transcript has 5 exons. The record is from RefSeq and is a predicted model, not a curated record. Lineage: Eukaryota; Viridiplantae; Streptophyta; Magnoliopsida; Poales; Poaceae.